RNAcentral lists this non-coding RNA (27 nucleotides) under Cricetulus griseus (Chinese hamster). The record is from RNAcentral. Lineage: Eukaryota; Metazoa; Chordata; Mammalia; Rodentia; Cricetidae.
GGGGGUAACAUAGAAACUGAUCGAUGC